This 500-nucleotide ribosomal RNA is filed under the name uncultured bacterium. RNAcentral describes it as "bacterial SSU rRNA". It matches the Rfam family "Bacterial small subunit ribosomal RNA", at positions 380 to 873 of the family's 1533-position model. The record is from RNAcentral.
AGCCUGAUCCAGCAAUGCCGCGUGCAGGAUGAAGGCCUUCGGGUUGUAAACUGCUUUUGUACGGAACGAAAAGCCCUGGGUUAAUACCCUGGGGUCAUGACGGUACCGUAAGAAUAAGCACCGGCUAACUACGUGCCAGCAGCCGCGGUAAUACGUAGGGUGCGAGCGUUAAUCGGAAUUACUGGGCGUAAAGCGUGCGCAGGCGGUUUUGUAAGACAGAGGUGAAAUCCCCGGGCUCAACCUGGGAACUGCCUUUGUGACUGCAAGGCUAGAGUACGGCAGAGGGGGAUGGAAUUCCGCGUGUAGCAGUGAAAUGCGUAGAUAUGCGGAGGAACACCGAUGGCGAAGGCAAUCCCCUGGGCCUGUACUGACGCUCAUGCACGAAAGCGUGGGGAGCAAACAGGAUUAGAUACCCUGGUAGUCCACGCCCUAAACGAUGUCAACUGGUUGUUGGACGGCUUGCUGUUCAGUAACGAAGCUAACGCGUGAAGUUGACCGCC